ACUCAAAUGAAUAGACGGGGGCCCGCACAAGCGGUGGAGCAUGUGGAUUAAUACGUCACUAACCGUAGAACCUUACCCAGGCUUGACAUCUGCGGAAAGAAGGUGAAAGCCUUCCGUGCCCCGCAAGGGGAGCCGCAAGACAGGUGUUGCAUGGCUGUCGUCAGCUCGUGUCGUGAGAUGUUGGGUUAAGUCCCGCAACGAGCGCAACCCUCACCGCCUGUUGCCAGCAUUCAGUUGGGCACUCUGGCGGAACUGCCCGGGUAACCGGGAGGAAGGUGGGGACGACGUCAAGUCAGCAUGGCCCGUACGCCUGGGGCUUCACACAUGCUACAAUGGCCGGUACAGAGGGUCCCGAGCCCGCGAGGGGGAGGCAAUCCCAAAAAGCCGGUCUCAGUUCGGAUCGCAGGCUGCAACUCGCCUGCGUGAAGGCGGAAUCGCUAGUAACCGCCGGUCAGCUAAACGGCGGUGAAUACGUUCCCGGGCCUUGUACACACCGCCCGU
Molecule: ribosomal RNA, 501 nt
Filed under: uncultured bacterium
Lineage: Bacteria
Description: partial 16S ribosomal RNA
Rfam family: Bacterial small subunit ribosomal RNA
Source: RNAcentral